GACGAACGCUGGCGGCGUGCUUAACACAUGCAAGUCGAACGGAAAGGCCCUGCUUUUGUGGGGUGCUCGAGUGGCGAACUGGUGAGUAACACGUGAGUAACCUGCCCUUGACUUUGGGAUAACUUCAGGAAACUGGGGCUAAUACCGGAUAGGAGCUCCUGCUGCAUGGUGGGGGUUGGAAAGUUUCGGCGGUUGGGGAUGGACUCGCGGCUUAUCAGCUUGUUGGUGGGGUAGUGGCUUACCAAGGCUUUGACGGGUAGCCGGCCUGAGAGGGUGGCCGGCCACCUGGGGACUGCGGUACGGCCCAGACUCCUACGGGAGGCAGCAGUGGGGAAUAUUGCACAAUGGGCGGAAGCCUGAUGCAGCAACGCCGCGUGCGGGAUGACGGCCUUCGGGUUGAAAACCGCUUUCGCAUGUGACGAAGCGUGAGUGACGGUAAUGAGUAAAGAAGCACCGGCUAACUACGUG
RNAcentral lists this ribosomal RNA (468 nucleotides) under uncultured bacterium. RNAcentral describes it as "partial 16S ribosomal RNA". It matches the Rfam family "Bacterial small subunit ribosomal RNA", at positions 28 to 507 of the family's 1533-position model. The record is from RNAcentral.